CCUACGGGAGGCAGCAGUGAGGAAUAUUGGUCAAUGGGCGCAAGCCUGAACCAGCCAAGUCGCGUGAGGGAUGACGGCCCUAUGGGUUGUAAACUUCUUUUAUAUGGGAAUAAAACGUUCCACGUGUGGGAUUUUGUAUGUACCAUAUGAAUAAGGAUCGACUAACUCCGUGCCAGCAGCCGCGGUAAUACGGAGGAUCCGAGCGUUAUCCGGAUUUAUUGGGUUUAAAGGGAGCGUAGGUGGAUUGUUAAGUCAGUUGUGAAAGUUUGCGGCUCAACCGUAAAAUUGCAGUUGAAACUGGCAGG
Molecule: ribosomal RNA, 305 nt
Filed under: uncultured bacterium
Lineage: Bacteria
Description: bacterial SSU rRNA
Rfam family: Bacterial small subunit ribosomal RNA
Source: RNAcentral